GCUUGCAUCAGAUGACGAGUGGCGCACGGGUGAGUAACGCGUAUACAAUCUACCUUUUACAGGGGGAUAGCCUUUAGAAAUGAAGAUUAAUAUCCCAUAGUAAGUAGUUUUGGCAUCAAGACAACUUUAAAGUUUCGGCGGUAAAAGAUGAGUAUGCGUUCUAUUAGUUAGUUGGUAAGGUAACGGCUUACCAAGACCGCGAUAGAUAGGGGCCCUGAGAGGGGGAUCCCCCACACUGGUACUGAGACACGGACCAGACUCCUACGGGAGGCAGCAGUGAGGAAUAUUGGACAAUGGGCGCGAGCCUGAUCCAGCCAUGCCGCGUGCAGGAAGACUGCCCUAUGGGUUGUAAACUGCUUUUAUACAGGAAGAAACCUUUUCACGUGUGAAAAGCUGACGGUACUGUAAGAAUAAGGAUCGGCUAACUCCGUGCCAGCAGCCGCGGUAAUACGGAGGAUCCAAGCGUUAUCCGGAAUCAUUGGGUUUAAAGGGUCCGUAGGUGGAUAAUUAAGUCAGGGGUGAAAGUUUGCAGCUCAACUGUAAAAUUGCCUUUGAUACUGGUUAUCUUGAAUUAUUGUGAAGUGGUUAGAAUAUGUAGUGUAGCGGUGAAAUGCAUAGAUAUUACAUAGAAUACCAAUUGCGAAGGCAGAUCACUAACAAUAUAUUGACACUGAUGGACGAAAGCGUGGGGAGCGAACAGGAUUAGAUACCCUGGUAGUCCACGCCGUAAACGAUGGAUACUAGCUGUUCGGUUUUCGGACUGAGUGGCUAAGCGAAAGUGAUAAGUAUCCCACCUGGGGAGUACGUUCGCAAGAAUGAAACUCAAAGGAAUUGACGGGGGCCCGCACAAGCGGUGGAGCAUGUGGUUUAAUUC
Molecule: ribosomal RNA, 874 nt
Filed under: Winogradskyella sp.
Lineage: Bacteria; Pseudomonadati; Bacteroidota; Flavobacteriia; Flavobacteriales; Flavobacteriaceae
Description: bacterial SSU rRNA
Rfam family: Bacterial small subunit ribosomal RNA
Source: RNAcentral